GCCAAUUUUGGUAUCAAUUAAUCGGGGUCCUUCACCUCCGCUGAUCCAACGGUUCUUAAUCAUUCUUGAUCAAAAGAUAAAAGUGUCCGGAAAUGAAUCAAACCCUAAAGAUAUGUAUCUCCCUCCUCGUACCUUAUCGCUUCUCGUCGGCUCCGCCGCCCGCUGCUGAUGUCGGCGAUGCUCCGAUGGACUCCAAAAUUACAUCAUUGAAUCCCCGUCCCCUCCUCUUUCCAAAUUCCCAAAUCCCAUCCCUCAAAUCCUAGCCGCUCUUCUCAAAUCUUAGAUCGAAAUGCCGACUCAAAACCUUACUUGCUCCAAAAUCCACCAAAUUUUCACCACAUAACCUCCUCAUCUUUCUCUUCACAAAUCCGUGGCUAGUUUCUUUUAAAUUUUACCUGGCCGUCUCAAAUUUCAAUUCUAGGGCUGCUAAAGUCAAGUUUGUUUUGGGAGAUUUUUCGCAAGUUCGAAUGUUUUCUACAGUAAGUGUUCCUUAGUUUUUUAUUUCUAUUAGUGUAGUUUAGCUUUUCAUUUUUUUCUUUUCGCUUCAAUCUGGUUGGUUACUAGAAGCUUGGCUCAUAGUUUGGUCCUGAUUUUUUUUCUUGAGUUUUAGUUUAACACGGUGUUAAUCUUGUUAUAGUAGUUUAUUUUUGUUAUAACUUCAUAGUUCAUCAAUCCUUGUUAGCGUUUAAUUGUUAGUAUAUGUGACCAUAUUUUUGUUACUCCGAUAUUUGGCAAAGAUGUUGGUUUAAUUUCAUGCCUGAUCGAUUAUGUCUUAGUUUAAUUUUGUGUUGAUUCAUUCUGAUUAGUUGAUUUUCGGAUAAUAGUUUAAUUGGGUUCCACAUCUUUAGGAUACAUGAUACGAAUAACUGAUUGUUUCUGAUUGUUUGAUUCUAGAUUUAUGUUGACUAUAAUUAGUUGUCUAUCAACCAAGGGUAAGGGUUUGGUUUAGUUAACGGAGGUAGGGAGGAAAUAAGGGUAGUUUAGGCAUGGAAAAGGGUAGUUUUGUUAAGAAUAAUGAUUCCAAAACGAAAGCGAUGGUAGUAUAGGUAUUGUAUAGGUAGAAGAACACCCUAGGACCUUUUAGAAUUGAACUUUAGUGUACUUUCAACACAAUAGAGGUAGUUACUUGCAUAGCAAGUUAAUAAAUGAGUGAGUAAAGUAAAAAAAGAAGAGGGACUGAAAAGAAAACCAAAAAUUUGAUUGUUCACCCUUAUGGUGCCUUUAAAUUGGCAUUCUCAUGCCUUAGGGAGGGGUCUUCUUUUCAGCCAACAAAAAUUCCCCAAAUACUCUCUAGUUACAGAUUCAAAAGGAGAUCUGAAAUCUGAAAUUUCCUUUAGAAGUUUAAGCUUUUCUACAGAAAAGCCAAAAGAAAAACAACAAAACCUCUGAACCAAAAGAAAAACAUGGUUCCAUUGCUUUUUCUCUUAGAUUAUUUUCCAAUUCUAGCUUAGUUAAAUUCUUUAAUCCUUUUAAAAAACCAAAAAUAUCUCGCAAUAUGUUGUUUCUGUUCAAGAUUUGAACGAAUCAUUUGAGCAGUAGUAUUGGGUUAUUCGAGUGGGCUUUGGGAUGUUUGAGUUGGCUGUGGUUUACUGGAUAUUUUAUGAGUAUUUUGGUACUAUUUUUGGUUUAUUCUGUGAUCCUAUUUGGUUUUGAAACAAUCCUAAGACUUAGAGCUUGUUUCUGAAUUGUUGAUGUUUGGUUGUUGCAUCAGUUGACCUCUUCUCUUUUGUUAUUUCACUUUCUAGGUACACACUCGAAAUUCUGUUGUAACCCCAUGCUUGAAAUGGAAUAAAAUUACCCAGCUAUUUUGAUCCUGAGAUUUUCCUGCUAGUUGUUACAUAUUCAUAGUUAAAUAGAUAUUAUAUGUGUUGUUUAAUAUAGUUAAGUGUCAAUUGGUUGUGUAUAAACUGUGGACUGUAUGGACUGUCACUAUUACUCUUGAUUGAAUUUCAUUAGUAAGAGCAGACGUAAUUAUUUUUUAUCCAAACUACAAAGUGAUCUUAUUUCAGGAAUGCUUCAAUUAAAAGUGUUAGUUUCAUGAUAGGUUAAUGGCAUCGUCUUAUAAAGGAUUUGUUAAAUCGUUUCUGAUUUGUGUAAGUAAUAGGACAUAACGUUAACAGCAUACUCACAACUUAGGUUCAAUUGUCAUGCCAAUUUAAAGUAUAUGAGUUUUUCACCUUAGUUCCAGAUUUUCUUUUUACCUUAGUGAUAUCUAGUAACUUUUCAAAUAGAAAAUAAUAUGAGUAAAAUUUGAAAAUCAAGGUGAUCAUUGUUGAGUCAAUCUGAAUAGGCGUAUGUUGUUUCCCUGCAUUACAAACGUGUUGAAUGAUUUUUGAUAACUGUGGUGGAAUUCUAGGUCUGCACGGAACUGAGGCUUCACUUGAUUCAGCCAGCAGCCUGACUGCAGGCAGUUGGGCCUAAAUGCAUCAAUAAGCAGCCCAGGCCAUGCUGAUUUCUUCACAUGACCUAUGUCCAAGAAAUUUGAACGCAUGUAUUCAUGGAAUUCAAACAUACUUGACUCCAUACAAAGGAUCUCUUUUUCUUUAUUUUAGAGAAAAAUAAAAAAUCGUAGUCACUUUUAGGUUGGCCCUUUAAUAAAAUGAUGAGACGAGCUUCGCCAAAUAAAAAUACAAAAUACGGGGCCCUCAAUAAAUGGUUAUUAAAAUACUUAGAAUUCGUAGGGCCGUUUAGUGAACUUUAGGGCCUUCCCCAAAAUAAUAAUACACUAGACUCUUUAGGCGCAAUUCAAUUAAAUUAUACUCUUAAACUCGGGUGCGCAUUGAUGCGACGACCUAAAUUCAAAUCUCAACGGAGUCAAAAUGUGUUAAAACCACGUGUGCAUUGAUUGCGACGUGGUUCGAGACGCAUUUUUACGACGUUGCAAUUCUUUUAAAAUAAUGAUAAAAGCGCUUUACAAAUAAAAGGCAUAAGUUAGAAUGUAUUAAAAUCAGAUAAAAUCAAAUACAACAGUUGAGUGACCAUGCUAGAACCAGGGAACCUGGAAAUGCAUAACACCUUCUCCCGGGUUAACAAAAUUCCUUAUCCAGAUUUAUGUUCGCGGACUAUAAUACAGAGUCAUAUUUUGCCUCGGUUCGGGAUCAAAACGGUGACUUGGGACACCAUCAAUCUCCCAAGUGGCGACUCUAAAAUCUUAAUAAUAAAUCCCAUUCGAUUAUCCUUUAAGUGAAAAAACUCCUUUACACCCUUGCGGGUGUAAAGAAAAGGAGGUGUGACAACAGCGACCAAGUUCGAUCGUUCCCUACUGAUCGCCGACCUAGUUCAACGAUAGCUCAAAGCACUUGAACAACAAGCAGAAACACGGUAAAAGUCCAACAAGUAAACGAGCACCCUUUCUACAGAGACGGGGCACCAGAGAAACAAAAGAGCAAAGAAAAAGAAUAAAUUAGCAGAAAAGUUGUGUUUCAUUCUCUCCAAAAAUACAUAUACAUCUGACCCUGGAAAAAGGUCUUGGUUACAUCCAAACAAGAGGAGAGAGAAAAAUAUAUACAUAUCCUAAGAGCCUUCACCGCUUCGACCAUCACGCUCCGCUUGGCCGCUAUUUUGUCCGCCAUCGCCCCUAGGGUGGUAAGUCUUUGAGAUCCAGGAGCCGGACUCUAGAUGGUUGACGUCUUCAGAAUUGUGGCCUGCCCCAUCAGGGGAAUCAAAGCUAUAACCACAAGAGGCACGGGCGACACGAGCUAAGAGACGUUGCUCCUCAACCUCCGCCUCAGUGGCUCGACCUGCGGAUAAGUACUCCUCGAGUACGACCAAUAUAGCCUCAGAAUACACCCAUAUUUCAUGGUCUUCACGAUGCGCGUCAUAUUCGAGCUUUGACAAAGCGGCCCGCUCAAGGGACUCAACUUUAGCCUCCUUAGCGUCCAUCUCAACCGUCAAAUCAGCAACUCUGGUCUGCAACCGAGCCGCCUCCGCCGCUACCCCGCGACUGAUCUCCAACUCCUCUUCUUUUGACUGAAGGAGAGUCUCUAGCUCGAUGUUCCAAGCCAAAGCAACCAUCAGUUUCUCGUUACCUGCUCCAACUCAGCCACCUGCCGUAUCAACUGAGCCUCCGAUUGUUCAAGGCCCUUACGGAACAGCCGAAAUUGAGGGUCUUGCUUGAACACAUCUACCAACGCCUGAAGUGCGGCACGACAUUGUUUUUACUUUUUGCCAUUUUGUGGAAGGUGGUCGCCAUCUUCUGCUCACGCCACCUCCUGUCCACCUCCAAGACAAAAGUCUAAAAAGAAGAGGAAAGAAAGGAAAUACAAGUCAGUACAUACCAAAGUCGCCUUUAUGACCCAUAAAAAGAAAACUAAAAGCUACCUGCAAGGAUGCACCAGCAAUCCCUUAAGACAGGUCCCUGUUACUGACGCCCUUCAACGUCUCACGCUCUGCGUCCGCACAUAGCAGGGUCAUCUCCGCUGCGGCCUUAUAGCUGCUCUUCAAUAAAUUAUACCCUCUCGGGAUUAGGAUUCGGCGGGUAGAACUACCCGCCCUCAUCUCCACACGGGCUAGAUCCAUCGUUACAUCUCCAAGAGCGGCCUCAGGGCCCGUACUCUUAAUCUCAACGCCCGCUUCCCCAAUUACAGAGGAUGACCAACCCUCUGGGACACGGACUGAACUUGAAACAACAUCAGUUGUCCUUCAGGUAUCCAACCUCCCUGAAUGGAUGGCCUCGGCCAAAACAACAGGCCUUGGCUCUCGACGGGGCUCGCUAGUCCUCACGUCCUCAGUCGCAAUCUCCUUACAGGUGAUCAGUCGCGGGCUAUUUCUCUCCAGCGGCUCUUCACCUUCAAAGCCUCCUCCACAGGCUUCGGAGGCAGCUCUGAGGGAGCCACUUCAUCAGCGGGUGUGGCCUCAGGCACCAUCAUAGGCAUGGCCUCAGGUGUCGUCACUGGCACAACUUCAGACGCAAACUUAGAUGUCGUUAUUGGUGCAGCCCCUGCUAAGAACCCGCAGGAGUGUUGUUACUAGGCGAACCGCAUGAUAUGACUUCAUCAUUUGAGUCUACCUCCACGCUAGACGGGGAAUCUAUGGUCUUCUUCCUUAUGGAAACAACCUGACCUGCUAACACAAGUGAGUCAGGUAACAAAAAUUUAAGGGGCUUUCAAAACCGAAGCCAGAAUAACAAAAACUACCAGGUGGGCCGUACUAGUUACGGAACGCGUGCCAAGUGCGACACUCCUCCGCGUAAGGUAUCAACCUCUCCACCCACGAUCUAAUAUUUUUGAUGAACCGCGGUGGAGAAUCCGCCACUACAAAAAAAAAGAGAAAAAGAAAUCACAACGGCUGAAAAGUCAGAACCCCAAUUAAUCAAGAAACACACACAAGGAUACUUACAUUUUGAGUUCCACCUCUCUAGGAACCCUUCACUAGAAAGAUCUUUGUACCGCGGCUCUUCAAAUAAAGCAUGGUACCCCUCAAGUAUCUUGGGCCAAACAUUUGCAGAAGAUGAUGAACCGAGACCUCGCUCCUCUCCCUGGUCGCGUACGUAGUAAGGAUUCUACACACCUUCAACGUAUAGGUAGUGAGCAUGGCCAGACACACCCUGUAAAAGUGGCAGAUCUCCUCUACUAAAUAGUUAAACAGUAUGCUAUAUCCGAUCCUAAACAGAUACUCAUAAAAAGUACAAAAACCAGGCCUAUGCACAAUAACAUAGUCCAUAUCAAGCGGAACCAUUUCUACAUGGAUCGGAAUGUUGUACGUUGAUCGCAGGGUGUCUAAGUGGGAUUGUAGCAGUUCACUAUGCUCCCAAGGAAUAAAUGAGCUCUUCAUUUUAAAAUCACUUCAAACGUGCAUCUCUUUCGGGAGCACAUUAUCUACCGAAUGAGGAACAAGGUCCUUUUCCACCUCUUCCUCUUCAGAGUCGGAGGAAGGUGGAACCCUAGAUGGAGCAGUGUCCUUAGUAGUUUGUUGCUGCUCCGACAGCAUUUCGCCAUAUGAACUGGUUUUGAAAUACUGGUGACGGGAAAUACAACCACACAUAAACAAGGAAGAUGUCACACGAGAUAUCAGUUACAAGAAAGCAAGACAAAAAAGAGAAUAAGAAAAUACUCUCAAAGGUUCGAAAGAUGAAUAAGUAAGAACAUUUCCCCUAUUUAUAGGAUGAAGUUACGUGGAAAUCAAGUAGGUAUGAUCAAAACUGUUGGAAACACGUUCUCAAUGCAAUAUACUAAAACGUGUGUUCUUUUGUAUAGGUUUUGAUGAUUGACAAACGAAGCGAAAAUUGAU
Molecule: long non-coding RNA, 6228 nt
Filed under: Nicotiana benthamiana
Lineage: Eukaryota; Viridiplantae; Streptophyta; Magnoliopsida; Solanales; Solanaceae
Description: long non-coding RNA (NBEN_LNC035740)
Source: RNAcentral